RNAcentral lists this ribosomal RNA (576 nucleotides) under uncultured eukaryote. Its description in RNAcentral is "SSU rRNA". It matches the Rfam family "Eukaryotic small subunit ribosomal RNA", at positions 203 to 786 of the family's 1831-position model. The record is from RNAcentral.
GCAUUUAUUAGAACAAAACCAAUUGGCUUCGGUCAUCUUUGGUGAAUCUGAAUAACUAUGCUGAUCGCACGGUCUCGCACUGGCGACAUAUCCUUCAAGUGUCUGCCUUAUCAACUGUCGAUGGUAGUUUAUAUGACUACCAUGGUUGUAACGGGUAACGGAGAAUAAGGGUUCGACUCCGGAGAGGGAGCCUGAGAAACGGCUACCACAUCCAAGGAAGGCAGCAGGCGCGCAAAUUACCCACUCUCAGAACGAGGAGGUAGUGACGAAAAAUAACGAGACAGUUCUCUAUGAGGUCUGUCAUCGGAAUGGGUACAAUUUAAACCCUUUAACGAGGAUCUAUUGGAGGGCAAGUCUGGUGCCAGCAGCCGCGGUAAUUCCAGCUCCAAUAGCGUAUAUAAAAGUUGUUGCGGUUAAAAAGCUCGUAGUUGGAUCUGCGAUCGUAGACACUGGUUCCCUUCACGGGAUACUAGCUGUCUCGAUCUACCUUGUUAGACGUCCCUUAGUGCUCUUCAUUGAGUGCUCUGGGUGUCUAGCUCGUUUACUUUGAAAAAAUUAGAGUGCUUAACGCAGGCA